ACGAACUCUGGUAUUGAUUGGUGCUUGCAUCAUGAUUUACAUUUGAGUGAGUGGCGAACUGGUGAGUAACACGUGGGAAACCUGCCCAGAAGCGGGGGAUAACACCUGGAAACAGAUGCUAAUACCGCAUAACAACUUGGACCGCAUGGUCCGAGUUUGAAAGAUGGCUUCGGCUAUCACUUUUGGAUGGUCCCGCGGCGUAUUAGCUAGAUGGUGGGGUAACGGCUCACCAUGGCAAUGAUACGUAGCCGACCUGAGAGGGUAAUCGGCCACAUUGGGACUGAGACACGGCCCAAACUCCUACGGGAGGCAGCAGUAGGGAAUCUUCCACAAUGGACGAAAGUCUGAUGGAGCAACGCCGCGUGAGUGAAGAAGGGUUUCGGCUCGUAAAACUCUGUUGUUAAAGAAGAACAUAUCUGAGAGUAACUGUUCAGGUAUUGACGGUAUUUAACCAGAAAGCCACGGCUAACUACGUGCCAGCAGCCGCGGUAAUACGUAGGUGGCAAGCGUUGUCCGGAUUUAUUGGGCGUAAAGCGAGCGCAGGCGGUUUUUUAAGUCUGAUGUGAAAGCCUUCGGCUCAACCGAAGAAGUGCAUCGGAAACUGGGAAACUUGAGUGCAGAAGAGGACAGUGGAACUCCAUGUGUAGCGGUGAAAUGCGUAGAUAUAUGGAAGAACACCAGUGGCGAAGGCGGCUGUCUGGUCUGUAACUGACGCUGAGGCUCGAAAGUAUGGGUAGCAAACAGGAUUAGAUACCCUGGUAGUCCAUACCGUAAACGAUGAAUGCUAAGUGUUGGAGGGUUUCCGCCCUUCAGUGCUGCAGCUAACGCAUUAAGCAUUCCGCCUGGGGAGUACGGCCGCAAGGCUGAAACUCAAAGGAAUUGACGGGGGCCCGCACAAGCGGUGGAGCAUGUGGUUUAAUUCGAAGCUACGCGAAGAACCUUACCAGGUCUUGACAUACUAUGCAAAUCUAAGAGAUUAGACGUUCCCUUCGGGGACAUGGAUACAGGUGGUGCAUGGUUGUCGUCAGCUCGUGUCGUGAGAUGUUGGGUUAAGUCCCGCAACGAGCGCAACCCUUAUUAUCAGUUGCCAGCAUUAAGUUGGGCACUCUGGUGAGACUGCCGGUGACAAACCGGAGGAAGGUGGGGAUGACGUCAAAUCAUCAUGCCCCUUAUGACCUGGGCUACACACGUGCUACAAUGGAUGGUACAACGAGUUGCGAACUCGCGAGAGUAAGCUAAUCUCUUAAAGCCAUUCUCAGUUCGGAUUGUAGGCUGCAACUCGCCUACAUGAAGUCGGAAUCGCUAGUAAUCGCGGAUCAGCAUGCCGCGGUGAAUACGUUCCCGGGCCUUGUACACACCGCCCGUCACACCAUGAGAGUUUGUAACACCCAAAGUCGGUGGGUAACCUUUUAGAACCA
RNAcentral lists this ribosomal RNA (1418 nucleotides) under Lactiplantibacillus pentosus. Its description in RNAcentral is "bacterial SSU rRNA". It matches the Rfam family "Bacterial small subunit ribosomal RNA". The record is from RNAcentral. Lineage: Bacteria; Bacillati; Bacillota; Bacilli; Lactobacillales; Lactobacillaceae.